RNAcentral lists this long non-coding RNA (514 nucleotides) under Mustela putorius furo (domestic ferret). RNAcentral's name for it is "lncRNA (ENSMPUG00000029154.1)". The record is from RNAcentral. Lineage: Eukaryota; Metazoa; Chordata; Mammalia; Carnivora; Mustelidae.
GGGGAGCAGUGCUAACCCAGGGUCUGGACGGAAUCCAGGUGUCUCCCGGCCACGCAAACCAGUUCUCCGAAGCCUCAAGGAGCUCAGAGCCACGGGGUCUCUUGGGCCUUUCAACUUGGAGACAUGUUUCUUGCUGCUCUUCUUUUGGCAGAAAGUCUCGGGUCCAGCUUUGAUGCUUGCACUUUUGCCUGCCCCUCUGCUCCCUGGCUGGCCGCACUUUUCAAGAUACCCUCUAACCAGGGUGGUGGGGCAGGACUGGACCUGGGGUGGGACUCAGCAGCAACCUCACCGACAAGCCUCCCCAGCCUCCUCCCUCCCCACCCAGGAAAAGCUUGUGUUAUUUUAUCCUCCACGUUCUUGCUGCUUCUCUUUGACAAACACGGAAAUAGACAAGAAGAGAGGGUGAGAAUCUUGACUUGUUCACAGAAAUAGGAAAUGACAAAGCCAGGAUGUGACCCCAGUUUUGAUGCUCUGAUGACUUCUGCACCCAUGUCCCCUCUCCAGCCAACCAUGG